UUCGCAAUGCCCGAAAGGGUGACGAAGCGACGCCGCGUGUGGGAAGAAGGCCUUCGGGUUGUGAACCACUGUCGGGAGUUAGGAAAUGCAAGUGCGUUAAUAGCAUUCUUGCUUGACUAAGGCUCCGGAGGAAGCCACGGCUAACUCUGUGCCAGCAGCCGCGGUAAUACAGAGGCGGCAAGCGUUGUUCGGAAUUAUUGGGCGUAAAGAGCACGUAGGCGGCCUUGCAAGUCGGUUGUGAAAGCCUUCCGCUUAACGGAAGAACGGCAUCUGAUACUACAUAGCUUGAGUACGGGAGGGGAGAGUGGAACUUCUGGUGGAGCGGUGAAAUGCGUAGAUAUCAGAAGGAACGCCGGCGGCGAAAGCGACUCUCUGGUCCGAAACUGACGCUGAGUGUGCGAAAGCUAGGGGAGCAAACGGGAUUAGAUACCCCGGUAGUCCUAGCCGUAAACGAUGGGCACUAAGUAGAGGGGUUUUA
RNAcentral lists this ribosomal RNA (478 nucleotides) under uncultured anaerobic ammonium-oxidizing bacterium. RNAcentral's name for it is "bacterial SSU rRNA". It matches the Rfam family "Bacterial small subunit ribosomal RNA", at positions 365 to 833 of the family's 1533-position model. The record is from RNAcentral.